Molecule: ribosomal RNA, 377 nt
Filed under: uncultured bacterium
Lineage: Bacteria
Description: bacterial SSU rRNA
Rfam family: Bacterial small subunit ribosomal RNA
Source: RNAcentral
CAACGUAGGAGGCAAGCGUUACCCGGAUUUACUGGGCGUAAAGCGUGUGCAGGCGGCUCGGCAGGUCGGGCGUGAAAGCCCCUGGCUCAACUGGGGGAGGCCGUCCGAAACCGUCGGGCUUGAGCACCGGAGAGGGACGUGGAAUUCCCGGUGGAGCGGUGAAAUGCGUAGAGAUCGGGAGGAACACCAGUGGCGAAGGCGACGUCCUGGCCGGUUGCUGACGCUCAGACACGAAAGCUUGGGGAGCGAACGGGAUUAGAAACCCCGGUAGUCCAAGCCGUAAACGAUGGACACUAGGUGUGGGAGGUCUGAACCCCUUCCGUGCCGAAGCUAACGCGUUAAGUGUCCCGCCUGGGGACUACGGCCGCAAGGCUAAA